This 301-nucleotide ribosomal RNA is filed under the name uncultured bacterium. RNAcentral's name for it is "partial 16S ribosomal RNA". It matches the Rfam family "Bacterial small subunit ribosomal RNA", at positions 509 to 807 of the family's 1533-position model. The record is from RNAcentral.
CAGCCGCCGCGGGAAUACGGAGGGUGCAAGCGUUAUCCGGAUUCACUGGGUUUAAAGGGUGCGUAGGCGGAUCUGUAAGUCAGUGGUGAAAUCUCCAGGCUUAACCUGGAAACUGCCGUUGAUACUAUAGGUCUUGAAUUUUGUGGAGGUUAGCGGAAUAUGUCAUGUAGCGGUGAAAUGCAUAGAUAUGACAUAGAACACCAAUUGCGAAGGCAGCUGGCUACACAACUAUUGACGCUGAGGCACGAAAGCGUGGGGAUCAAACAGGAUUAGAUACCCGCGUAGUCCCUGUCUCUUAUAC